Molecule: ribosomal RNA, 550 nt
Filed under: uncultured bacterium
Lineage: Bacteria
Description: bacterial SSU rRNA
Rfam family: Bacterial small subunit ribosomal RNA
Source: RNAcentral
UAGGGGAUCUUCGGCAAUGGACGGAAGUCUGACCGAGCAACGCCGCGUGGGUGAAGAAGGUUUUCGGAUCGUAAAGCUCUGUUGUAAGAGAAGAACGAGUGUGAGAGUGGAAAGUUCACACUGUGACGGUAUCUUACCAGAAAGGGACGGCUAACUACGUGCCAGCAGCCGCGGUAAUACGUAGGUCCCGAGCGUUGUCCGGAUUUAUUGGGCGUAAAGCGAGCGCAGGCGGUUUGAUAAGUCUGAAGUUAAAGGCUGUGGCUUAACCAUAGUACGCUUUGGAAACUGUUUAACUUGAGUGCAGAAGGGGAGAGUGGAAUUCCAUGUGUAGCGGUGAAAUGCGUAGAUAUAUGGAGGAACACCGGUGGCGAAAGCGGCUCUCUGGUCUGUAACUGACGCUGAGGCUCGAAAGCGUGGGGAGCGAACAGGAUUAGAUACCCUGGUAGUCCACGCCGUAAACGAUGAGUGCUAGGUGUUAGGCCCUUUCCGGGGCUUAGUGCCGCAGCUAACGCAUUAAGCACUCCGCCUGGGGAGUACGACCGCAAGGUUG